Molecule: ribosomal RNA, 124 nt
Filed under: uncultured bacterium
Lineage: Bacteria
Description: partial 16S rRNA
Rfam family: Bacterial small subunit ribosomal RNA
Source: RNAcentral
CCUACGGGAGGCAGCAGUAAGGAAUAUUGGUCAAUGGACGCAAGUCUGAACCAGCCAUGCCGCGUGAAGGAUUAAGGUCCUCUGGAUUGUAAACUUCUUUUAUCUGGGACGAAAAAAGGCGAUU